Molecule: long non-coding RNA, 400 nt
Organism: Panicum virgatum (switchgrass)
Lineage: Eukaryota; Viridiplantae; Streptophyta; Magnoliopsida; Poales; Poaceae
Exons: 2
Source: RefSeq, a predicted model, not a curated record
CAGGUCAACAAGAUAUUUGCUGAAAAUGCAUUUGAUGCUGUGAUGCACUUUGCUGCAGUUGCUUAUGUGGGUGAAAGCACACUGGAACCCGUUAGCUGUUUGAUAUAACGAGGGGACAAGUCAGGCAUGGCCAGCGACUGGUGGGAAAGCAUGCGACAAGUUAGACAUUGCCUGUCGACGCAACUUCGACUCCUACUUGGCAAGAGCUAUUUGGAGCGUUAUUCGGUUCGUUUGCAGUGAAUAGAACGCGAUGCAUUAUUGGAAAAGCAGCUGUGUCCGUAGAGAUAUCAUAUUUCGAACAUAUUUUUAUAAUUAUAUACUCAUACAUACCAUUAUGUACUAUCUUAUACAUACCAUUUACCUAUUUUUAUAAUUAUAUAUUUUUUUCAUGUUUCAAAUA